RNAcentral lists this long non-coding RNA (456 nucleotides) under Vigna radiata. RNAcentral's name for it is "long non-coding RNA (VRAD_LNC012873)". Lineage: Eukaryota; Viridiplantae; Streptophyta; Magnoliopsida; Fabales; Fabaceae. The record is from RNAcentral.
CGUGCACAACUCCUUCAGAAAUUUGGCAUACUUGGGUAUCUGCUUGAUGGCAUCGAGUAGAGGUAUGUUCACCUCUACUUUCCUGAAGGUCUCCAGAAUUUCCCUAUCAACCUCUUCAGUCUUUUUACUAGGUAGAGCCCGUGAAGGGAAUGGAAGAGGGAUAGGUCGGUCAAUCAGAGGAGAAGGUGCGGCAGCAGUGGUGGUGGAAGAGGGAGAAGGUCCACCUGAAGAAGAACCACCGGCUGGAGAAGAAGAUCCACCCACCUCACAUGCCCUGCGUGGACCGUCAUGGUCGUCCUCUCUAGGAUAAGUGGCAGGCACGGGUGUAGAUGUAGAAGCGGGCUCAGGAGGCACAACAGUCUGCUUCCCUGACCUGAGGGUAAUGGCACUCACGUUCCUAGGAUUCUGCACAGUCUGGGAGGGUAGUUUAUCAGAAUUUUGAGACUGUGCCUGGUU